GUUUGGUUGCCAAGAAAGUCGCGGGCAAGGGAAAAGGUGGGAAAUUUGAGGUUUGCAUUUGCGGUCGUUGGGUUGUUUGUAAAAUGGGGGAUUGAAGAUAGUUGAGUCGACUACUUGUUUUUGUAGGAACUGAAAAAUCAGAGUUUAUCAUUAUUGUUACUUUGAUUUCACUUUAUCGGUAAGCAGCGGAGUGUUAUUGUUGCUCAGGUUUGUCCUUAAACCAUCUGAUUGGCUGCUGAGAAAGUUGUGGAGGGGGGAAGGUGCAAAUUUGAGAUUUUUCCUUGCUGGUUGUUGAUAAAAUGGGGAACUCAACUUAAUCGAGUUGACUCUGUUUGUAUGGAAACUGAAAAUAAAGAGCUUAUGAUUCGUUUUGUUUUACUUUCUUUUAGUUAUUUUCAUUGGUUUCUCAGUAACCAAACAUACCAUUAGUAUUGUGCAUUAAUUUUGCUUUAGGCGGGAAAAGCACUUUUUUGGGUUAACUUUGUUUUUUUAUAUGAGUUCUCUUAUUAAUUCUGAUGUGUUUCUAGCACUUAAAAUUUUCUUAUCCACUGUUUGGUAGUCGCUCCUUUUUUGGGUGCAUGCUAUUUCUAUGCCAUUUUUUUCCCAAAUUUUUUUCUCUAUUCUGGUGCUUAAACUUGAUUGAAUUCAAUGAUGCUUUGCUUGGAAGGAAUAAAUGGAAAUGAAACACAAUGAUUUUGAUAUCUGUGAAAGCAAGCUGAAUUAUGUAUUAACAAUCAUUUGGCUUCCAUGGGAACCACACAGUAGAAAAUUUGAAGUUCAAUCUCUUUUUUCCAAUGGAGUAAACUGUAUAUGGUCCUGAAAUUGUAUUUUAGAAAUCAUUUUUUUUUUGGUUUUAUGUAUUCAUACUUUGUUUUAUAUCAUAGUGAAAUUACUCAGAAAAUUCACGGUUUUGUCUCAAUUCUCCUAGAAAUAUCAAUGGUUGCAGUUGUAUUUUUAUUCAUGCCAUCAAGUUCUUUUGAAUCUAUGUCAAGUAGCAUCCACCCAUUUUUCAAGGGGUAAAACAUAUGACAUAACCCAUCUAAUUACUUUUAGCGUAAAGAUAAAAAAUAAAACGGAAAUUUUAUGCGAGUGGGCCCCAUGAUAACCGGAUUUACUCUUUUAACUUCUCUUGUAUAUACCGGCUUUUUAAAAUCUUCUCUCCCCCCUUACUCUUUAUUCUUAACUCUUUAUUUCCUUAUAAUUCACGCCUUAUUUUCCAUGCACGUGGAAUGUGUGUUUCUUUAGUACUAAGUAAAAGUUUCCUUUUGAACUGUAAUUAUCAAGAAUAAGUGGAUAAUUUUUAACUGAAUCUGGUCGGAGGACUUCUGUUUUUAGCCUAUGAUUUGGAAUGCUCCUUUUCUAAAACUAGGAUUUGCAUAGAAUAGAAAUGGGGUAUAUAUGAUUGUAAUAAUUGGAUUGUCUCAAUAAAAAAGAGGGUUUGAAAUCAUUUGCUAUUUGCUUAGUUGUCAAUUAAUAGUUGAUUCAUUUGGAGUUGUCAAUAAAAAAUAACUAAUUUUUUUCUUGAUAUCCCUUUUUCAUGCUGGAUAAUGGUGAUGCAGAGGACAGCUGCAGACCAGAUUUUGAGGGAGCUGCAAAACAAUCCAGAUAUGUGGCUUCAAGUAGUUCAUAUUCUACAAAGCACUCAGAAUCUAAACACCAAGUUCUUUGCCUUGCAGGUCAGUUUGUGUCCUUCUGCAUAAGUACCUAAUUAUUCCAUUUCUAGAUAGGUCAAAACCAUUCUAGCGUGGUGCUAAAAUGCAUUUGGAGGUUAGGGGGGGAUGAGUCUUAAAUUUAUCAUUGACCCCUCAACAAACAGAAAUUUUGUAAUCAGGUACUGGUUUGGGUUAACUUGCAUAGCUCAGAAGUCCUUAUUUUAGGUUUACUUCUGGGUGCUUCUGAGUGAGUCAUAUGGUCGGUCAAUAGGUUGUAUCAGAGUAAUGGAAUAUUUUUUAGCUUGACAUAUGAAGUUCUUUGAGCAGAAUGAUUAGAUGCACUUCAGAAUCAGCAAACUACAUUUGUCACUGGGUUUGUGAAUGGUUAACUUAUGCCUAUAUGCACUGUAUGGUUCUUUCAGUGCUUUACACCCAAAAGCAUGAAAACAUUAGCUUUUACGGUUGAAAACCACAGUGACUCAGUCAAAUUUUUUAUCUUAUGGUUUUCUGUACAGUUUUAUCUGGCUUUGAAAAUGGGACCUUUUUUUUUUUGUGCAUAUUUGGUGAGUAUUGUGUUUCCUUUCAGUCCCUGUAACUUAAAUAUGAGCUCACGAGUUUCGAAUUCAAGGUUUCAGUUAACAAUUUAAAAGUUGGCAGAGGAGGUAUAAACAUGCAUAGAAUUCUUAGGGAAAGAUUGGGUCAUGGACCUUAUGGUCACCAUUUUUAUUAAUUUACAUUUCCUGUAAUUAUACAUAAAUUUUGAUUUGGGGUUUCUGUUAACACUUUUUAUAUUGCCUAUAAAAACAAUGCUAUCCAACUUUGGCUCAAAAUGGUCUUGCAGUUUGAGAAGGGCUUGCCUUUAGUUUUAUUUUGGAUGACAAGAGUUCACAUUUGCCCUCUUGGGCUUCCAUCGGAGAUAGAUAGCUUUGAUCUGUUGCAUAUGGAUUUUACUUGCCAAGUGUAGUGCCAUGAGAGGAAAUGAGUAGAUUCUAGCUGACGAACUGGGUGUUAAUCAUUUCAUUUUUUUUUUUGCUUAUUUUCUUCCGCUGCAUAUGUGGCAACAAUGGUCAUCAGUGAAACUAAGGCAUUGUAGCCACUGAACAGGAUGUGAUACACCCGAGUCAUUCCCUCCCAUAUCUGAGGUGUUAAUUUUGAGAGAAUAUUCUGUGUUUUAAAUAAAGGUUAUCAUUUGAUAGCUAUGUACAAUCAGGUAUAUGGCUUUGACUUGUUGCAAGUGCAUUUCAGAGGCUGAUGCUCGCUGCCUCUGGGAAAAUCAGAAUAUUCUAGCUAUGGAUGUAAAACUUGAAAAUACCAUUUUCUUCUGUUGUUUCCCAUAUUUGUUGUGGUGAUCUGAGGGGGCAUUUAUGUGCUUUUACAUCAGGUCCUUGAGGGUGUUAUUAAGUAUAGGUGGAACGCAUUGCCUGUUGAACAACGGGAUGGGAUGAAGAAUUACAUUUCUGAAGUCAUUGUCCAGGUAUAAUUCACAUAGCAUGCUUCUUUCCUAUAAAGGUUUUGACAUGCUUUUCUUCUUCUUUUUUCUCCCCUCUUGUGGCAUUUGCUUCAUUUCCUUAUUUGUUUUUGCCUUUGAUCGCACUUGCAUAGCUUUCAAGCAAUGAGGCCUCAUUUCGGCGAGAGAGGCUGUAUGUCAACAAGCUCAAUAUCAUCUUGGUUCAGGUAAGCCUGUCUCUCUUUCAUAAAAUAAUGGUUUCUUAGAAGAGUGAUUUUGGUUAUUGAGAACACAACAACUUGGAUUUCUCUUUUAAUUUUGGUAUAAAUUUUUUAUAAUCAUUGUUUAAGCAAGCCAAUGUUGCCUAGUGAUGAUUAGGCAGUUAAGCUUCUGGUUUUUAUGGUUGUUCUUUUUGCCUUUCUAGUUUGUAGAUGUAUUUCUGCCCUUUGAAAGCUUGGUGCUUGUGGUUUUCUUUGAGAUAUUUUGGAUCUAAUUAGUUGAGUUUAUUCUAUAACCCAAUUAUCAUGUGGCCUAUGAAAAUACAGGUUUUGAAGCAUGAGUGGCCAGCAAGAUGGCGAAGCUUCAUUCCUGAUCUUGUUUCGGCAGCAAAAACUAGUGAAACAAUUUGUGAAAAUUGCAUGGCUAUUUUGAAAGUAAGUCCAUGGAGAUUUUCAUCUCUUCCUGAUAAAAUUUGGCUGGGCAUAUAUGGAUGACAUAAAUUCUUGCUUUUCAGCUUCUAAGUGAGGAGGUUUUUGAUUUCUCAAGGGGAGAAAUGACUCAACAGAAGAUCAAAGAGCUUAAACAAUCUCUAAACAGGUAAUUUGUCUAGGGCCCUUGGAACCCCUCAGGAUUAUGUCGGGUGAAGUGCUCCUGGCUGUUGCAUCCAUGAGUUUUGUCUGUGCCUUGUUUACUGCUUUAAGAUUUUUGACUUGUAGGCUUGCAACUGUUUGUAUGUAAUGAGCAAGCCAAGACAUGCAAUUUGUAAUGUUUUACAUAUUUGGCAAUGUUGUAAGAUACGCUUAAACCAUUGAAUUUGUUCAAGAAAUAGAGUUUGUUUAAUUGUGCCUACUCAACUUAUUUAUUUGAUUUGGGCUCGUGCUUAUGAGAUCUGUAGUAUUUAUUGUGUGAUGGCAACUCUUUUUUUAUUUUAUUUUUAUUAUUUUUAAACCAUUUAUAGUGAUUCAGGCAAGUAACCAACCUUUGCUAUUACUCCUAGCAAUUUCUUAAUGUUAUUUCCUCCCAGCUUCACUGGCUUGAGAACUUGAUGUUCAAUUUAACUCUUUACAUUGGAAAACACUCUAUCAGAAAUUUAACUGAGAAAAUACUCUUGCUGGAUAAAUAAGGAAGCAAAAAUAUUCUUUGGCAGUGAGGACUCUUGAGAUUUUUAGGAUCCCUAAAUACUAUGUUGUGAAUUGGCUAAGCAAUAGCAGGAACAGUUUACUGUCUGUUCUUUGUUUGUAAUCCAAUUUAAAGUCAAAAGUUGUUUUGGAUGCUCUAAUACCUUUUAAUACAAAUUUUCCUGAAGUUCUUGGACUAGUCUGAUUAUCAUGAGCUGUUGUGGCUACUUUUUUUUUGCAUGUAUAGCAGUUUUAGCUUCUGUAUAAGAUUGUAGUUUUGUGGACAGCCUUAGCUAUCAGCUUGUCACCUUUUAGUAUUCAAUUUUUUGGUAAGAUCCUUUAAUAUUCAAUUUGCUAUUUAUUUUUAUCAUUUAUCUUACUAAGGAUAUUUUUGGAUUUAUUUGCAGUGAGUUUCAGCUCAUUCAUGAGUUAUGCUUAUAUGUACUAUCAGCAUCUCAAAGAACUGAACUUAUACGGGCAACGCUGGCUACAUUGCAUGCUUUUCUCUCAUGGAUUCCUUUGGGCUAUAUUUUUGAAUCACCGCUGGUUUGUGCAAUGCUCUUCCAUGGUUCAUGUUGAAUUUGAUGAGAAUCAAUUUAUCUGUAACCUUGCAGUACUUGUAUUUGGUGUUAAAAUUUUGGAAUCUUUCAGUUAAGAGUUAAAUAACUGCCUGAAUAUGUACUUCGUUGUAUGUGUCAGCUGGAAACGCUCCUAAAAUUUUUUCCUGUCCCAUCAUAUCGGAAUCUCACCCUCCAGUGUUUGACAGAGGUAUAUUAACAUUCCAUUUUUCAGAUAAAUCUGUACAAUGCCUUUGCUUGUUAUCUUCAGGGUAUAUAACAUUUUUUGUUCUUGAUGUUCACAGGUUGCAGCCCUUAAUUUUGGGGACUUCUAUAACCUUCAGUAUGUGAAAAUGUAUAACAUAUUCAUGGUCCAGUUACAGGUAAGCCAAAAACAAGGAUUUCACCUAAAUGUGGUUUAGAGCUACAUUUGAACUUUCUAAGUUUAUUUCCUGGGUUGCUUAGAUUUAUUGGAGUUUGUUCCUUAUUUUUUCUCUUGUUUGUCAUUCAUUUUAUCUGCAUUUUAUUUAUUUGAAUUUAUUGUUUUAUCUUUGUUGCCUUUUGCGUGCACCUUUGAUUUUCUUCAGUCUAUUCUUCCAACUACUACAAACAUACCUGAGGCUUAUGCACAUGGCUCUAGUGAGGAGCAGGUAAUGUUUCCAAUAUGUGGGUAUUUGUUUUGUUUUUGUUUUUUCGUAUGUCUCUAACCAAUUUGUAUAUUUUCUUUGUUUCUUCAGGCAUUUAUUCAGAACCUUGCUCUAUUUUUCACCUCAUUUUAUAAGGUUGGUUUCAUUUCUUGCUUUUAGGGGUUUGUUAGCCAGGCAAUAGGAAAAAACAUGCUGAUACCCCUCUUUUCCUAUUCAGUCUCAUAUUCGAGUGCUGGAAUCUAGUCAAGAGAACAUAUCUGCACUCCUACUGGGUCUUGAGUAUCUCAUUGGCAUCUCAUAUGUGGAUGACACUGAAGUUUUCAAGGUAUGAUUGUUGUUGUUAUAUAUCUGUUCACCUUUUUCUCUUUGUAAUUAAGCUCUCAAGUUUAUAGUUGGACCUGGCAUCAUUGAACAGGUUUGUCUGGACUAUUGGAACUCCUUAGUUUUGGAGCUGUUCGAGGCACACCAUAAUUUAGAUAAUCCUGCAGUGGCUGCAAAUAUGAUGGGACUGCAGGUAAAGUAAUUUUUUUUUUAUUGGUAGAUCAUGAUCCUGUAAUAUUUUAGGACAAGGUAGAUUUGCUUUAAGAUUUCAAGGAUUUCUUUCUUGAACUUGUGUUGUAGUUCUUUGCUCCUGUAUUUUGGAUUUGAGAUUACAUAUAUGGAGACAUAGCGCACCCUUGUCCCUUUAUUUUGUUUUCACCUGCACAACUGUUGUUUCCCACAGCUGGUAAAAGAGAGAAUGUCUAAUGAAUUUUGUUAGGAAAAUUCCUAUCACAAAGAAAAAUUUAAUAGAAAGGUCCUUCAGUGACUUCUCUGCACUUGAAACUGAGUUCAAAGCCAAUGCCAUCAUCUCCUCAAUAGGAGGAAGUUAGCUAGCUAGACUUGGGAACCGAGUUACCUGAAAGUGUGGGAAUCCAUGGAGUAUUCCUCAAUGACUUGGACAAGGUACUACUCUUUGGGCCUGCUUAAUCCGAUGCCACUUAUCAGUUAUGGCCUCAUUAGGAUCUUGUCAUCAAACCAGAGAGGUAUCUCCCACCUUGAGGCAUGUCUAACAAUGUAAGCUUAAACCUUUUGGAAUGGAUUCUUUGUGUUAGGAAGAGAAUUUUUGUUCAAUUUCUCAUUUUUGGGUUCAGGUACCAUUUCAUCACCAUGUUUACUAAUUAGGUGACAAGGAUUAUUUUACCUUCUUAUGAUAAUUUGUCAUAACAUUUUCUGUAGGCCUUCUUAUUUCUGCAUUAUAAUACCCAUUGCCUGGUUUCAUGCAUGUUGGUAUAUUUGUCAAUAAAUAUUACAUUGGCUCCUGCUGCUUGUCUGAGUCUUCAUAUGGUCUGUGGAAUGUUUGUACUUGUCUUUUUUCUAUGGAAAAAUUUAUACUCAUGCCAACUUCCGUUUGUGUGCUGAAUCGACAGAUACCAUUGAUCCCUGGUAUGGUUGAUGGCCUUGGUUCUCAACUUCUGCAGCGGCGGCAGCUUUAUUCUGGUCCUAUGUCAAAGUUGAGAUUGCUUAUGAUCUGUCGUAUGGCUAAGCCUGAAGAAGUUCUGAUUGUUGAAGAUGAAAAUGGGAAUAUUGUUCGUGAAACUAUGAAAGACAAUGAUGUCCUUGUUCAGUAUAAGGUAUUCAAUUUAUAUCUGAAAAAUAAAGCAUCAAAUCUAUACAUAUAUAUUUGUUAGAGUGUGGGGAUAGUAUAAUUCUUCCAUAUCGAUUUACCCAUUGUUCAUCAGUUGGUUAGGGCAUUGUGGUCCUUAAAAAACAAAAUUACUCAAUUUAGCAGUUACUUUUCUGGUUGCUUAUCAAAAAAAAAAAAGAAAAAAGAAUUUAGCAGUUAUUUUUAUGAACACAAGACUGAUUUUUGGAAAAAAAAGAAAAGGAGAAUGGGAAUGUUGUCAAGAACAUUGUUAUUUUUGUUCUUUAGAUGGAGCUCAAUGAUUUUUUCACAAGACGUGUGAAUUCAGUUAUGUUUCUUUGAAUUGGUUCUUGUUUGUUUGUCUGUCAGGGUUUUAGAAGUUCCUACAGGAAAAGUUCAAAUUAAAUGACUUGGCUAUUGUUAUAGAAAUUAACAGAAUAAUGGUUGCUGUGUGAGUAAGCUAAGGUGGAUGAGUAGGUGGACAGCAUCCUGAAUCAUCUUUUAGAAUUUGGAUUGUUCUUGUAAUACAUAAGAUGUUAUAUAUGGGAAUUGUUUUACAUUUUACUUCAUCUUGUGUAUCUAUUUCUAAAUUUUUACCUUAUUUAUAUUUUACCUUAUUUACCUUUCUUCCUGCAGAUUAUGAGAGAAACUCUGAUCUAUUUGUCACACCUUGAUCAUGAGGAUACUGAAAAGCAGGUAUGGAGUUAUGAUCUAAUUUGUUUUUAUAUUUGCUUGUAAGGAAAACUAACACAUUAUGUGCUUUUAUUUCUCUUCCUUAGAUAUACUUUCACUCCUAUCUAUCUACUAUGAUUCCAAUUAUAUAAGAAUCUGUUUUUUUUUUUUUCAAUUGAUGACCUUCCACAAAUUUGAAAUAGAUGCAAUUUUGUGAACCCGAUCUAAUCCUCCUAAUAUGUUUCCACGAUUCUCUGCCAUGAUUACCACUCACUUCCCCCAAGUGCCACCUGUAAUCCAUCUCUUAUGUUUUCUGGUCGCCACAGCCUCUCUAUCUAUACCACAAACCUAAUGGAAGCCUAGAUCUGCUUAUUAGGAAGCCGGCAAACUGGUCAAUGAGGGAAGCCUCUUCCCUAGUUGAUUUUGUUGGGGAUUUCAUGUUCCCUUGACUUUAAGGCAUGAUUUCCUUGGGGCUAGGAAGCUAAAGAUGUUCUACUUGGUGGAUUUUUAUUUGCUCUUUUGUAUGCUCCUGUACGUUUUCCUUUUUUGGUAGGUUUUCUUGUUCUUUAUUGUUUUGUACAAAUUGUUAGUUCUAUCUAAUAUGAAUAUGGUUUUUUAUAUCAAACAAUUUCUGCUCUGUAAAAUACGAUCGUCUCAACUGCAUAAAGCAGCUGGGAGAUUUCUUAACUUUCUCAUUUGUCACAAGCCUCAUUCACAGGCCUGUUCACAAGCCUGCUAAUGACCUCCAUAACUAUAAUAAUGACCUCCAUAACUAUAAUCAACAGGAACAGAUACAGGUUCCCUUUGCAUUUUCUCUAAAUCCCUUUGAUCUUGCUCAACAUGUGUAAGUGGUAUCCUGUAUAUGUACCACUAACAAUUAAUUGCCUUGGUCUUCAUAUAAUUUCUGAACAUGAAUAUAUUUUUUUUCUUUCUCUUUGGUGUAUAUAGAUGCUGAAAAAAUUAAGUAAGCAGCUGAAAGGUGAGGAUUGGACAUGGAAUAACUUAAAUACAUUAUGCUGGGCAAUAGGAUCCAUAUCCGGUUCCAUGAUGGAAGAACAGGUAUAAUUCUUUCCAUGUUUAGCUUGAGAUCCUGUAUAAACAAGAUGAUGAGACUACCUUUGCUUAGUUCACACCAUUUUAUUCUUUUCUGUGCUGUUACUGUGAUUCGCUCCUUGUUUCAUUUUUAGAUAAGUGAGGAUUGUCUUGUGAUGUCAAUUGAAUUAUACUUUUAACAAUGUCUACUAGUUCAUUUUUGGUAAAUAAUAUUUGUGCCUUUAGAUAAUUGUUCUGAUUUUAUUCUGGCUUCAUGCUUCAUUUUAGAAUAUCCUCACAAAUUUUACCAAACUGGAGAACUUUCCAGUGAGCAAAGUUUGAUAGGGUCCAAUAUCACCUUUUAAACAGCAGGUUCAGGUCUGUAGUUGACUCUUCAUGGAUCCAAUGUCAUAUGGAUGUUUAGAAAUGAAGCACCUUUUAGAGAUUAUUCACAUGUUCUACGUGUAGAGAAAUGAAGCACCUUAUUGAGACUAUUCUCUAAGAAUUGGAUUGAAGGUAGACACAUUUUCUACCUGUAUUUUUAACUAAACUCUGAGGAUUACUUGUGCUUUAUUAUAGGAUUCAAUGUCCUGGUAUUGUGCGUCUAGAUGUAAUGAAAUGGAAUUUUUAUAGAAGCUGAUAGACAUGUAAAAUAUUUUUUAUUUGAUGCAAUGCCAGAAUUGUCCAUACUGAGAUGGCUAAUUUAUAAAAACAUUUUUUCCUUCUCAUGUUCUCUUUAACCUUAAUAUACACCUCUUGUUUCUAAUAAAAAGAAUAAAAAAUUUGGAAGAACUUUUGGCAUACCCUAAACUUUUUUUUCUCUGGUCCUUUCUCUAGCUUUGGCUUUUCCUCAUUGUGGUCUUUACAUCUGUAGGAUUAAUCAUACUUUUGCUUUAUUUGAUGGCUAUCUCAUCUUUCUUUGUAUUUCUUUUCUCUAUCUUAAGAAAAUUUCUUGUGUUUGAAAGAAAAAGAUUCUUAAUAUUACGUGGUUUCUGCAAAUUUGCUUAACUGUUUGAGAUGGAAUCUUCAUCCAUUCCAAACAAAUAGGUGGUAUUUUUUUUUUCUUUUUUUAUCCUUCUGUUUAAGCAUUUACUUUGAUUCUGGGAUUUAUAUGGACCAUUUUUCACUAUCUUGAAUUUUGGCAGGAAAACAGAUUUCUGGUGAUGGUCAUCCGUGAUUUACUGAAUUUAUGUGAAAUCACAAAAGGAAAAGAUAACAAGGCCGUCAUUGCAAGCAACAUCAUGUAAGAAUUUAUGAUGUUAAAGUUGGUCAUGACAAUCUCCAUUAGGGUUCUAUGUGGUCCUUUUCAAUUCUUGAUCAGGGUAUAGGUGCUCUGGACCUUUAUGUAGUUGAAAAAUUAGUACAAGUGAUUGUCUCAGUUAUGCCUCUUGUUGGCAAUUGGACAACUAUAAAUAAUCAGAUCUUUGGUAUCUCUCCUGUAAAACUAAAUUAUAGGUCUGCUCAAAAUUUCCAGUUUAUAUUUUAAUUCUUUUUGGUUGGAUUGGCAGGUAUGUUGUUGGACAAUACCCAAAAUUUCUGAGGGCCCAUUGGAAGUUCUUGAAAACUGUUGUGAAUAAGUUAUUUGAGUUCAUGCAUGAGACACAUCCUGGAGUUCAGGUAUUAUUACUAUCCCAUUAUUUUCCUCCAAGAUAUUGCACAUCUGAUAGUCAUUUGCAGGUUUCAUGUUGUUAGAACUUUACUUUCAUGCUCUAUAUAUUAGUAGUAUUUUUCAUGUAAUAGACCUUUAUAUCUGAUAGAAAAAAUCCCAUGGCUCUGGAUCACAGAGAUCUUUCUUUUCGGAAUGCUUUGAGUUCCAUCCUUUCUUCCCUUGUCAGUUUGCCCUCCUUUCCUGAAAUAGGACUUUCUGAUUUAUAUUGCUUGGAAUGGCUACUUAUAUUAAAAACUUUUAUCUAGUUGCAGAAAUGUUUACGAAAGCAUCUGAGGCUGUUGCCUGAAUUAGUAUUUGCAUAUGAUGCUUAAUUAUAACUUCCAUGCAUCUCUUUCAGGACAUGGCCUGCGAUACAUUCUUGAAAAUUGUCCAGAAGUGCAAACGUAAAUUUGUUAUUAUACAGGUGAAUUUACUUUUAUUUCUCCUCUUUUAGAUUGUGUGGCUGAUAUUAUGUUUCUCUGGUUAAAAAUAGUCCUUGUCUUAAUUAUUUGAGGUAACACAUCACUAGGGGAAUUGUUUUAGCCCAAUGGUGAUUUGCUUCUCUUAUUAUUAAUUUGAUGAGAAACUUAUGUUAUUUUCAGGUUGGUGAAAAUGAACCAUUUGUAUCUGAAUUACUAUCAGGCCUUCCAUCAACUAUUGCAGAUCUUGAGCCUCACCAAAUCCAUACCUUUUAUGAAUCUGUAUGUAGAUCAUAAUCUUGAUUUUAUUUGCAAAGUUGCUUUGUUGUAAGAUUAUUCCCUUAUUUUUUAUUUAUUUUAUUUGUAGGUUGGUCAUAUGAUCCAAGCAGAAUCUGAUCCCCAGAAGAGGGAUGAGUAUCUGCAGAGGUUGAUGGAACUCCCAAAUCAGGUAUGUUUUAAAUUGCAUUAUUAGAGUUUGAUCUCACCAUUUCUGUGUCUCUCAAGAGCGCACAUGUGUGAAGUGAUGCUGGAACUUUGUGGCUUUAGUCUUGUGCUUAGGGACUUGUUUUAUUAUGCAGAAAUGGGCUGAAAUUAUUGGACAGGCACGCCAAAGUGUUGAUUUCCUGAAGGAUCAAGAUGUGAUCCGGACUGUGCUUAAUAUAUUGCAGGUAUAAUAUCUGUGACACAUGAGAAGUGGAAGCAGGAUUUGCAACCUGAUUAUUUGAUAGAAUGAGUACAGCUAUAUGUUUUUUUAUUUUUUAUUUUAUUUUAUUGAUAACAUGGGGAAGGGGUGCAUUGGUGCCUCUGGACUAUUUGUUUUCUUAGUAAACAGUCCAUUUUGUUUUACAUAGAUCCUGUCUAAUAAGAAGUUUUAUAUAGAUCUGAAGACAUAAAUAUGUUUGACAAUGAAAUGAAGAGAUGAAAAUAAAUAAAUUUCAGUUAUUGCUAAGUAUUGUGGUAGGCAUCCAAAAUGGUGACAAUAAAACCAUUUAUAUAUAUAUAUAUAUAUAUAUAUAUAUAGGUCAUUUGUUGAAAUCCUGAAAAUUAUUAGUAUGGUUAUAGUAUGGUACUCAUUUGCAAGUGCUAUGAGGGAGAAGAACAGUAUGCUUCAUUUCAGAUUGUAUGUGAUACAAAUUAUUCCAUCCCUGUUUGACAUCCAAAUGCCCUUAUUGAAAUUUCCAAUACAAAACCCCCCUCCCCCCCACAUAUACACAUAUUAAUAAUUGGCCUUGCUCUUUUUUCUCUCAAAUUUCAUGCUGUCUUUUCAGUUUAUUUUCUUAUCAAAUGAAUUAAAAAGUUAGGAAUUUUGGGUGAACUUAGUGGAUAAUUUCUUGUCUAGUGUACAUGCAGUUUUAUAAUGUAUUAAUGCACUGUGUAUUUCCACAAAGCGAACUUGAUCUGUAUCAUUGAUUUGACAUUUUUGGUUCUUUGGCUUCAUCUCCUAGCAAGGAGUAGAAAACCAUUUUGUGAUUAUUUGCAGAUUUGCUGGAACUAUAGACUAUGAUGUUAUUUUUAAAUUGUGUUACAGUGAGGAGUGCUUGGUUGUGGUGCAUUUAUCCAGAAUCUCACAUGUGGAAGAUAAAUGAAAUUAUGUCAGAAUGAUAAGGGUCUCCUCCUCCAUAUAGUGCUUGUUUAUAGUCACACACAGUUUUCUGGACUUAAAAUUCCCUGAAUUUGUUGCAGAAAAGGAAAAAAGAACAUAGUUUUUCACAAAUAAUCUUUUUUAUCAUCCUGAUGAUGGCCCUUUCUUGAUAGAUUGUUCCUUUAUAUAGUCCUCCCAGUGCAUUGUUUAUGGUUUGUUAGCUUGUAGAUCAGACCAUUAUGGUAUCUUUAAUGAUGAAUUCUUUGUUCUGGGUUGGUGAUUUGUAUUUUUUAUUUUUCGAUUCACUGCCUCAUGAAGAUUAAAGUGUAACCUUUGAGACAAUUCUUUUGCAGACAAAUACAAGUGUUGCCACAUCACUUGGAACAUAUUUCUUAUCACAAAUUACGCUGAUAUUUUUGGACAUGCUUAACGUGUACAGGUAUAUAUUUUCAAGUAAAAUUUAAACUUAAAAGAUUGUCAGCUAUAUCAACUUUGAUAUAUUGAGCAUACCAGCCUUAAGAAGGGCCACUGGCACGUGAACUAAUGUUUCGUUUUCAUGACUUCCCAAUGCUUGCAACAGAAUGUACAGUGAGCUUAUAUCGAAUAGCAUUGCUGAAGGAGGGCCCUUUGCCUCUAAAACGUCCUAUGUAAAGCUUUUGCGGUAAGACCAAUUAUCAAGAUAUUGUCUCAAUUUUGCCAUAUAAUAUAGAUGUGACAUAGCAUAUCAUAUUCAGUAUCAGUUUAUACGCUUUCUGGACAAUGCAUUGAUUAAUAUAGUGAAGAUUAAUCUGUAUACUGUUAUAAGCAUUAUGAGUUCUUGUGCAGCACCCUUUUUCUUGCUAGGUGGUACCAUCUAAUAGAUUUUUCUUGCCUAUCAAAGAAACAACCGAGUGUGAGGUUUCAUAUUUAGAUAAAAAUUUAAAUUCAAUGGAACAUGCAAAAGUCAAAUUAUGCACUUGUCUUCUUUUAUUAUAAAUUGUAUUAUGUGUGAUGCCCAUAGCAGAUAAUUUAGGCUCCUAGUUUUAAUGUUUAUCCUUGUGUUUUUUAAAUAUUGAAGAAAAAGUUUAAUACUUAGGCCCCAUUUGAUGUAGUGGGCAUAAAAGGUUUGUUUACUUUCUUUUACCAUUACAAUAUCUUUAAGAUAAGUGUAAGAAUUUAUUUCAAGAAAUAUAGGUUUAGGACUAAUAUUUUUUUAAAAAAAAACUGAAAGAAAUUCUUUGUAUAUGUGGGAGACACAUGUCAAUCAUGAUAGCAUGUUUAUGAGUUAUUGAUAACUGUUUGUAUAACCUACAAGUUUCUUUUUUCCCCCCUCUGUGCUGCUUGGAACAGGUCAGUUAAGAGGGAGACUCUCAAGCUCAUUGAGACAUUUUUGGACAAGGCUGAAGAUCAGCCACAAAUUGGAAAGCAAUUUGUUCCUCCAAUGAUGGAUCCUGUUCUUGGUGACUACGCAAGGAAUGUACCUGAUGCUAGGGAAUCAGAAGUUUUGUCACUUUUUGCAACAAUAAUAAACAAGUACUAUAUCUUUUUCUCAUUGUGUUCAUUAUAAUGUAUUUCUGUGAAUUAGUUAGUGGGAGAUGGCUCCAAUUACAAAUGACCAACUAUGAGAAAACUAGAUAUUAUACAGUCCCUAGUUUUUUUUUUUAGUGUUUCUUUCUUUUUAACUUUGUGAAAGUCCCUCUUGUAGGCUUACCUGGGUAGCAGUUCCAAUAUGGUGUAGGUUUUCUAUAACACUUAUCGGUUACACACAUUCCCCUUUUUUGUAUAGAAACAUUUGUAUAUAGAAGUGCUAGAUAGUGCAUCUGGAAGCAGCAACUCCUGUCAUGUCAUCCUCAGCAGUCCGACCAAUAUUAUCUAAAAUAUUAAGAUUGGCUUGAAUUCAGCUAUUUAUCCAUGUUCACAAGAUUUAAAUAUUAUAUUUGCGGUCCAUAUUCCUACUGUAAAAUAAAUAUUUUAAUGAUUUAGUGCUUAGCAUACUGGAGAACAAUCCAAUUCUGAUGCUACUUUGCCAUAUAUUACUAUUUUCUUGCGUGUAUUUCUUAGGCGGUCCUCUAUUUUUCUUUCAUUAGUUUUCCUUGUGAGCUUGCAAGUUCUGAUGCUGGGUUUUCUUCUAUCUUUGCUGAGCUGCUUUUUUUUGCAAAGUUUAAUUUGCUCAUUCUGUGCUGCUGGAGACUGAUGUUUCUACCACAAUCAGCAGACUUCUCUCUUGAAGAAUUUGUUAAUCCUUUUACUUCAAUUUUCUUUUCUAAUGUUUCACCUUUUUUUAAUCGGUUUCAAUAAUGUAGGUACAAGGGUGCAAUGAUAGAGGAUGUGCCUCGCAUAUUUGAAGCCAGUUUUCAAUGCACGCUGGAGGUGAGGAUGUGGGCUGCUACUUGAUUUGUGUUGUUAAUCUAUGUGUGUAUGGUUUUAUGUGCCUAUACUUGAUAUCUGUCUCGGAAUUUCCAAUGUUACUCAAGAUUGCUUUUAAUUCAUAGAAAAUAAUUUAUGAAAAAUAGAAGAUCCUGAAAAAGCAUAAAGAAUUAAACGCAUGUUCGAGGAGAAUGAAGCAGGUACGACAUAUGGUUUGUACAUGCAUAGUAGGGUGGAAAAGAAGUUCUGCUGAAUGUGCUACUGCCCUGGUCUAUCAUACUAGACAUGUUUUGUUUUAUAACAUGCAGUUCCAUAUUAAAAAUGUGAUAUAAAAUCUAAGCACCAUCAUAUCCUGCACCAGGAACACUCCCUUGUCUCAAUUAUGGAUUCAAUGAACUUCCAUAAUGUUGCAAGAUGAUGCGGAUUAUUUUGAAAUGUAACUGUAUUUUUUUCAGCAAUUUCCGUUGUCGAUUUUUUUUCUUUAUUGUUUGGAGGCAAUAUAAUUAUAUGCUGCUAGAUACGAUAAGUCAUGACAUCAUUGUGUAUAGUUGGUCACCUUCCACACAGGUUAUUUAGCAGUGGAUGCAUAUGUUUUGCCUGAGCAAUAUUGAUCUUUCCUUAAUUUUCUGCUGCUGUGUACUGCAGAUGAUUACUAAAAAUUUUGAAGAUUAUCCAGAGCAUCGCCUAAAAUUCUUCUCCUUACUUCGUGCAAUUGCUACACAUUGCUUUCCUGCUUUGAUUCGGUUGUCAAGCCAGGUUGGUGUUGAAAUUUUAUUCCCCUUCAUUAAGUCUCAUUUUAGCUUGAUUUGUGUCUAAAUUCUGUUUAUAGUUGUGUUAGUUCAUCUGUUUGAAUGUGGAUGUAAACAAUUGGGUUUUCUUAUGUGCAUCAUUAUUAUUGUUCAUCUUAUUUUCCCCUUUCUGAUUGCAAUGAGCUUAUUCUUGUUUGUCUUGUUUUUGGUCUGCAUUAGCAAUUGAAGCUUGUAAUGGACUCAAUCAUAUGGGCUUUCCGGCACACUGAGAGGAAUAUUGCAGAAACAGGUUUAAACCUUUUAUUGGAGAUGUUGAAGAACUUUCAGGUGUGGUUUUGUAUGUAUUCUUGCAUCGUCUAUUCCAUGUGACAUGCUGGAUGCUUACUGGGUUUUGGGUCACUUGACAGGCUUCUGAGUUCUGUAACCAGUUCUACCGAACGUACUUCUUGACAAUCGAGCAAGAAAUUUUUGCUGUUCUGACAGAUACCUUUCACAAACCUGGAUUCAAGUUGCAUGUCUUAGUACUGCAGCACCUAUUUUGCCUGGUAAUAUAUCUCUAUAUGACUUCUCAGCUGUAGCCAGGAGACAGUUAAAUUACAGCUAGUAAUGUGAUUUCAGGUUGAGUCUGGUGCAUUAACAGAGCCUUUAUGGGAUGUAUCUACAGUUGCUUAUCCAUAUCCUAAUAACACAAUGUUUGUUCGUGAGUAUACCAUAAAACUCUUGAGUACCUCGUUCCCCAACAUGACGACAUCUGAGGUAUGGAAGAUAAGCAUUUGUUCAACACCUUCUGUCUUCUUUGGAGAUCUCUAACUGGAAGAAAAUUUUCAGGUGACCCAAUUUGUGACUGGACUAUUUGAGUCGAGAAAUGACCUCUCAACAUUUAAAAAUCACAUACGAGACUUCCUCGUUCAAUCAAAAGAAUUCUCUGCUCAGGUAACGCUGCAAAUUAGUAAAUAUUGACUACUUCAUUAGGUUGGAGUACCCAAGAUAGAUAUAACUUAUAAAAGCCUGGAACUGUCAUAUCUUGUCAGCACAAGCAUUUUCAUUCUAGUUAACUUUACGUUGCAUUUAGGGUUAAACGUACCUCACUUUAAAGCUGCAACUAGGCAGGCUGAUUUUAGGAAAAUUGAUGCUUAAAAGCGAAUGGUCAAGUUUAUCUGUUCUAGGCUUUGAACACACAGGAAAAUCCCACAUUUCAUCUCCUUUUUGAUGAAUCUAGCUUCUACUGGCAGCAAAACUUUUAUGCUGUUUGCAGUAAGGUCAAUAGUGUGCUUAUUGUCCACUUAUUUGUCUCGACAUUGUUCAGCUAUUAGUGGGCCUUUUUGUCGGUCUACUUAGGACAAAGCAUGAAACGAUCUACUUGCUGUCCCUGCAUCAUUUGGCUUGCAAACCUUCAAUGAGAAAAUGUGGUAUCAUCUGGGUGUCAUGGAUGUUAUGUUCACCGACAUUGCGUCAGCACCAAGAACAUUUGUGUUGAGCAACAACAGUUAUGCUAUUGCUGUACAAAUAAGGCAAGUAGGGUCUUAUUUUAAUACUCGCCCAUUUGGUGCAGGAUAACAAAGAUCUCUAUGCAGAAGAAGCUGCUGCUCAGAGAGAAAGAGAGCGACAGCGGAUGCUUAGUAUCCCAGGGCUCAUCGCCCCAAAUGAGAUUCAAGACGAGAUGUUGGACUCAUAGGUUGUCGGUCUGUCGUUGCUGUCAAAUCUAAUUUCCUGGUUUUUGACUCUGGAGUUACAAUUUGGGCGCGUUGAAUCUCAGUUAUCACAUUCUAUGCACAUGACACCAGACAGAUCAAUUUUUUCCCCCUUAUUUUUUUCUCCCGUUACCUUUGAAAGAUUUUCUUUUAGUUUGAACCAGUGAAUCCAUGAAGGCGCCCUCGUUCGUAGGCUUUGGCUGCUCGAAAAAUACCUCCUACCUCUAUUGGCAUGGUGUAGAGUAUUUUAGGUGCUAAUGUAGGGAUAUAGCGAGUCAUUAUCCGGUUUCUUGAAUGGACCUUGAUAGAUAAUGUAUUUCAUUAAGGAUGGAAUGCAAAAAUGUUGAAAUCACUCUUUCUUCAGGAUUUGAUGUUUCAUCCUUUUAGGUGUAAUGUAUACUAACUUUGGCGGUUUGUGCAGAAAUUUAAUUUUUUGUUAUUGGUUUGUAGGAUACAUAUAAUGUAUUUUGCUGUCUGGUAAGAGCUUUCUACUUUUGUGUUCUUUUGCUUUCAGUGAUAAUGCAAGUGUGAUUGUUCUUGAAACUUGAUAAUUCAUUUGUAUUUUUUCCGGGAAACCUUUAUUUUCAUUGCAUCCAAACAGGUGGUACAAGCAACAGUUCUAGACAUCCUUUGGUUUUGACACUAAAUCCACCAGGGUUUUGAAAUUCUCAGUAGAACUCCCUUUAGGACCAACUGCCCUGUCUGCAGUCUCUCUUAGGGCUCCCAGAUUUUCCCUCAGUUUCUUCCCUUUUUCUUGUGAGAGAAUUUGAUCAAAGCAACUCAUUAGCCCACUCUCUGUGAAAACCCCACCUUCAAUUCUCACUCCAAUCUCCAAAGCAUCCUCCACCAUCCUCCCAUUGAGCCUUUGGUCCCCAUAAAAGGGCCUGCAAAUCAAGGGUACCCCACCGGCCACGCUUUCCCACAAUGAGUUCCAUCCACAAUGUGUUACAAAAGCCCCAACUGCCUCAUGUGCUAGGACCUCCGCCUGAGGAGCCCAUGGAACCACCAUUCCGUACCCUCUGGUCUUCUCCAAGAAACCUUCUGGCAAAUGCACCCUUGCCUUGUCCCUUAGGGACCAUAUAAACGGUACCCGGCUUGCCUCCAGUGCCUCAGCUAGGGCUACAAGCUCGGCUGGGGGUGGUGUCGUGACGGUGCCAAAGCUAAUGUACACGACCGAGGUGGGUUUUCUUUCUUUGAGCCAUUGGAGGCAGCCGGUUGUGUUGGGUAUAACCGGCGGUGGGGUUAUUAGGUUAAAUGGACCGAUAUUGAGGUACGUCUUGAGCUUGGAUUUGAGAUCAUUGGUUAGGGAAUCGUCGAGCUCCUCGAAGGAGUUUAUGAAAACUGCAGUCGCCUUAGGUAGCACUUGGCCCAUCCGAUGGAGCAUGCGUGAGAAGAGCGAGUUUAGGUUUCCGAACACGAUGCCUUCCUGCAGGUCGCGAAAACGUACUUUAGACAUUCCGGGAAUGAAAUUGAGCAGCUCGUCUUCACGGCCUUGAAUGCCUGUAACGUAAGGUAUUGAACAAUCAAUCUUUUAAAGCAUCAAUAAUCUUAGAAAACAAAUUAGCAGGUAAAACCACCUGAAACUCCAAUCUUUUCUCUGAUUUCAUCAGUGUAAACAUGGGUGGAGAGUGAGUUAGGCCCUGCAGUCCAAAACGGCAGCCAAGCCACCCCCAUCUCUGCUGCCAUAUCUGCAGCAAACCAAAUGAAUGCGUCAGCCACCAGGCAGCUCACUGGCCGCCCUGUCUCGGCCACAGCCAUCACCAUCCCCUGCCUAAAGCUCUCCGGCGCAGCCCUCAUGAACAGCUCAAUAUCCUCCUGGGGCCGCCCGGCGAACACAUACCCCUCAGCCACACCGUCGGACACAUCAUAGGACUUGAUAUUACAUUGCAUGGUAUGCAUGGAGUCGUGGAAGAUGGAGGCGUUGGAUUGGCUGGUGCUGAAGAAGGAGAAGACUGCAUGAGGGGCAGCGGCAGCAAGGCGGCGAACGACGGCAAGGAGGGGGGCUGCAUGGGUGGAGAAGGGGAAGGCCAGGACGGCCACAUGGGGGUUGGUGGUGGUUUGAGACAUGGUUGGAAUGGGGGAUGUUACAAUUUGGGUUUUGGCUGUUGAAGAUUAUAAAUGAGAGCAAGUGCAUGGGGGUUGUGAGAGUGGCAACUGCAUGGGGGUUGUCAUCCCACCCUCCUAACAAACCAACCCAAAACCAAACCACCAGUCUGCAUGGCGGCCAAAGAAAGAAAAAAUGGGAAAAAAAACAAAACAAAACCAGGGGCAAGUGAAAGCUCUGUGUGAGCUUUUACUUUGCCAUUGGUGGGAUAUACGUGGUGAGUAGUAGCAAGAGCAUGUUUUUUAAUUUUACUUAAAAAAUUAUUUUCCAUUCUAAAGAAAAUAAAAUUGUUUUCUAAUUUGAAAAAUAUGAUUCAAUAAAUUUUUUGAAAUAAAUUAAUGUUUUCAAAAUUAAUUUGAUUAAAACCCCAUUGUUUUUAAGAAUAAUUUAAAAUUUUUUUUUUUAGGAAUGUUGAAAAGGUGGAGAACGUUUUAAAAGUUUUUGUAUUCCACAUGAUAUAUAUUAUUUUUAUGAAGAGAACUAAAAAAAUUAUUUUUUAUAUUUUGGUUAUUAGAUAGAAUUUUGUUACCAAAAACAAUUGAAAAAUAUUUUAAAGAAUUAUUUUCAAAAAAUACUUUUUAAGAAUUGAUUUUGAAAAAGCAAUUAAUUAAAGAAAUUAAAGGAGUUGUUUGAAAACUUUUUUGAAAAGAUCCAAAAACUGUAUUUUAACUUAAAAGGUAAGGGUCUAUUUGAUAAUUAUUUUUUAGAACGGUUUUCUAUUCUUUAAAACAAAAAAUUAAGAUAAUACAUUUAACAAUAAAAAAUUAUUUAUAAUAGAAAACAAAGUAUUUUCAGAAAAUAUAUUUUAAUUAUUUUUUAUGAAUGUUUUGAAAAAUAAUUAUACAAAUAUGUAGAAUGAUUAAAAAUAAAAUACUAGAUAUCAAACUUAUUUUUAAAAUAAACUAAAAAAUAUUAAAAAUAUGUUAAAAGAUUUUAAAUUUAUAAACAAAUUUUUGUUUUACAAAACAUUAGAUAAUGGUUUUAAAAAACUAUUUUUUAUAACUGUUUUAUAAAACAGUUAUCAAACAGACCUUAAAUUUUUUACAGAAAAUAUUUUUUUGAGAAUGUGUUCUAAAAACAAGUUAUUUUUAAGAUCAAGUCUAAUAUGCUCUCAAUCGUGUUUUUGUAAAGUAUUUUAGAUAACAAUUGAAAUAUGAAAAAUAUUUCAACAAUUUUUUUAUUGCGUAUAAUUAUACAACACCCUCAUGUGGAAUAAGACCAAAAUAUCGUUUUUCAUAUUUAUGUUCCUAGAUAAAUUUUGUUCUUAAAGACAAUUUAAAAAAAAAUGAUGUCAAACAAAACCAAGAUGAAAUGACGAAAAAGCCCUUAACAAGUCACAAUAUUUUCUGGUUUCCAUGCUUUGUAUAUUUGGGCAGAAUGAGAAUGUUGAAAAGCUGCAGCCUGCAGUUGUCUCAAUGUUGCCCUAGAGUGUGCUGAAUCAGAGGUUAGAUAGAUCUUACAAAAAUGUAAUUUUUUCAUAAAUUUAGGGAGAAUUCUAUAGUACUGUGCUAGUAGGUAUUGUUGAAUUCAUACCAACCAUUGGAUGUGCAAGAUGAGAUCUUGAUUUUUAUUUAUUUAUUUAUUUUUUUACACAUGUCAAUAUCCUAUUUGAUAAUAGGUGGACGCAUGAUACCGAAAAGUUGAUUUUGGAUGCCAUAAUUUAACCCUAAAUUUAAUAAUAUAUUUUAAUGAUGUCUUCCAUGAGCUCUUGCUUUAUGUUGUUUAGAUUUUAAAAAAAAUACAAUAUAUAGUGUUGGAGUGCAUGAUUUAUAUUAUAUGCCUAGAUAUUAUGUAGGGAUGGUAACAGAGCGGGUUUGGGAUGGGUGGCUUCUGUCCCAAUCCCAUCCUUUUUUGUUCAAAAUAAUUUUUAUCUCGUCCCAUUAAAAAAAUUAAACAAGAUGUGGUGGGACGAAGUAAACCAAGUAUGAGAAUUUCCUAUAGCCAUCUCGUCUCACCUUGUUUAACUUUUAUUUUGAUUUUUUAAAAAAAAAUUAUAAUUAUACUUUAUAAAUAAUUAAAAUAUUAUAAUUUUUUAUAACUUAUUUUAUUAAAAAAUAUUUUUUAUUAUUAUUAUAUUAAAAAUAGAGAAAUAAAAAUUAAAUUAAAUUAAUUUUAUAUAUAAUCGGGGUAGGGUUGGGUGUGACAAGACAAUACUCGAACCCACCACGAAUCUGUCCUAGGUUAAAAAAAUAAAAAAUAAAAAAUCCCAAAUCUACACGUUUAUUUACAUUUCAAACUUAUCCUAUUAGGGAUGUGACAAGAUAAAUACCCGAAAAAACUUGUCUUAUUGUCAUCCCUAAUCUUAUGAGCUUAAAUAUUUAAGUAAAUUUAUCCUCCAACAUAGUAGAUGAGACAUUGUAUUCAAACCUUAUCGUAUAUUCAUUUUUCUCAAUUUGUAAGUGUAGAGAAUGUUAUUUGUAUUUUGUUUGUUUAUUGGAAUAAUGAGUAUAGAAUUGUUUUAAAAUUCCAACUUUUUAAAGGAAUAGUGAGCUUCAUUUGAGUUAUGAAACAAGAACAAGUAUGUGUAAGAGUAAAGAUCCAAGAAAUUUAUCUUUGAUAUUAAUGAAAUUAACAUAUUAAGAGUGUGUUUGAUAGUGAUUGUGAUAAGCGUUUUUAGUCUUUCUAACAAUUGAAAAUUUUUAUUUUUCAAGUAUUAGAAAUGUUGCAUUAUGACCCAUCCCUUUAGCUAAUUUAGCUCUUAAUACAGGAUCGUUCAAGUCUGGUGAGAACAUCCAUCCGGCUAGCUGAACGAGGCUGUGAACGAAUCUCUGUGGUGUAGAUGAAUAGCUAUUAAUGAUCGGGUGUUUUUGGUAAAAAGGUAUGUCAAUAAAAUAUCUAAGCAUAAUUAUUAAAAGAUAAUUUUUUUAGUGAAAUAAAUCUAAAAAUCAUUUGAGGAAAGAUAGUGAAUAGAAUUUUAAGAAUUAAUUAAGAAAAUAAAUGUAAAUUAUAAAAUGAAAUGAAAAUAGAAACAUGAUGUUAUUUAGAGUGCGUUUGGUAGUGAUUUUAGGAAGCGUUUCUAGUCUUUUUUAUACUUGAAAGAUAAAAAAUUUAAAUAUUAAAAAGACCAAAAGCACUUCAUAAAAUUAUUGUCAAACGUACUCAUAGUAAAUUUGAAAAAUCCCCAAUGGACUUUGAGAAAAACUCAAAGGGAAAUAAAAAGAAAAAAAAUAUCAAUAGUUAUUUAAAAAAAUAAAUAGAACACCUCACCUGAUGAGUAGCAUUUGUACAUGUGUAAAAAGGUCAAUUAAAUUAGUAGUUAAGAAAAUAAUAAUAAUAAAUGUAAAAGGUCAUUGGUAGAGAAAAUAAAACCUACCCUAAAUUCCCUGCUAAAUUCCAAGUAGUCAUAGUAAAUUCAUUGCAUGAAUAAGAAAAAUUGAAACAUAAAAGUUAAGCCAAUUGAAAAUAAUAAUGUCUUCAAAGGCAAACUAUUGAGAUGAAAAAGUAAUUGGGUCAUGGUUCAUUGGUAUUACUUUAGAGGCACACUAAAUUAUUCCAUUCCCUAACUCUAAAUUUUUUAGAAUGCAUAUAAUCUCAUCCUAAGCUCUUUAGAUCUAGCAUAAUGAAA
Molecule: long non-coding RNA, 23072 nt
Filed under: Vitis vinifera (wine grape)
Lineage: Eukaryota; Viridiplantae; Streptophyta; Magnoliopsida; Vitales; Vitaceae
Description: long non-coding RNA (VVIN_LNC005294)
Source: RNAcentral